GCAUAUCAAUAAGCGGAGGAAAAGAAACUAACAAGGAUUCCCCUAGUAACGGCGAGUGAAGAGGGAAGAGCCCAAGAUUGAAAGCUGGCGUCUUCGGCGUCCGCAUUGUAAUCUCAAGAAGUGUUUUCCGCUUCGGACCAUGCCUAAGUCCCUUGGAAAAGGGCAUCAUAGAGGGUGAUAAUCCCGUUCAUGGCAUGGAGCGCCCGAAGCUUUGUGAUACGCUUUCUAAGAGUCGAGUUGUUUGGGAAUGCAGCUCAAAAUGGGUGGUAAAUGCCAUCUAAGGCUAAAUAUUGGGGAGAGACCGAUAGCGAACAAGUACAGUGAUGGAAAGAUGAAAAGAACUUUGAAAAGAGAGUUAAACAGUACGUGAAAUUGCCAAAAGGGAAGGGUAGGAGGUCAGAGAUGCGUCUUGGAAUUCAGCCUUGCUUCUGCUUGGUGUUUUUUCCAUUUUGCAGGCCAACGUCGGUUUUGGGCACUGGAGAAGGGUGGAAGGAACGUGGCACCUCUCGGGGUGUGUUAUAGCCUUCUACUGGAUACAGCGACCGAGACCGAGGACAGCAGCGUACUCGCAAGAGCGGGCCUUCGGGCACCUUUACGCUUAGGGCGUUGGCAUAAUGGCCCUCUACCACCCGUCUUGAAACACGGACCAAGGAGUCUAACAUGUAUGCGAGUCUUUGGGUGGCAAACCCAUAGGCGCAAUGAAAGUGAAUUCAGGUGGGAUCCGCAAGGUGCACCMAKCGACCGAUCCUCACGUCUUUUAAGUCGUGGAUUUGAGUAAGAGCAUACCUGUUGGGACCCGAAAGAUGGUGAACUAUGCCUGAAUAGGGUGAAGCCAGAGGAAACUCUGGUGGAGGCYYVUAGCGGUUCUGACGUGCAAAUCGAUCGUCAAAUUUGGGUAUAGGGGCGAAAGACUAAUCGAACCAUCUAGUAGCUGGUUCCUGCCGA
Molecule: ribosomal RNA, 945 nt
Filed under: Sporophora toruliformis (nom. inval.)
Lineage: Eukaryota; Fungi; Ascomycota
Description: LSU rRNA
Rfam family: Eukaryotic large subunit ribosomal RNA
Source: RNAcentral